CUUGGGAGUCAGACUGUGGGUGAUAAGAUUCAUAGUCGAAAGGGCAACAGCCCAGAUCGUCAGCUAAGGUCCCUAAAUGUAAGUUAAGUGGGAAAGGAUGUGGGAUUGCACAGACAACCAGGAUGUUGGCUUAGAAGCAGCCACUCAUUCAAAGAGUGCGUAAUAGCUCACUGGUCGAGUGAUCCUGCGCCGAAGAUUUCCGGGGCUAAAAC
Molecule: ribosomal RNA, 212 nt
Filed under: Clostridioides difficile
Lineage: Bacteria; Bacillati; Bacillota; Clostridia; Peptostreptococcales; Peptostreptococcaceae
Description: partial 23S ribosomal RNA
Rfam family: Bacterial large subunit ribosomal RNA
Source: RNAcentral